ACCAAUUUUUGUGGGCUUGAUUUGUAGUUCCCCCAGAUGUAGUGGCUUGGGCGCUAUACUAACUUUUGUGGCUAUUCUGAACUGUGGCCUUUUUCUGUUGCUGCUGUUCCGGGAAACUCCACAUACACUU
RNAcentral lists this small nucleolar RNA (130 nucleotides) under Amborella trichopoda. The record is from RNAcentral. Lineage: Eukaryota; Viridiplantae; Streptophyta; Magnoliopsida; Amborellales; Amborellaceae.